CGAAUACUUCUGUCUCUCAAUAUUAGUUCUAUGUUCUGGGUAAGUUGAUACACUUGGUUCAAUUAUUUGUCUUCUCUUCUCUUUACCCUUUCGGCAUUCUUCAAUUCCCCUUCUCCUUUGCUAGAGUCGAAUACCCUCUCAACUUCUGUGUUAGCCAAAUACUUCAUCUCAGGUUUGGAUGCUCAGUUUUUAUCUUUUCUC
This 201-nucleotide long non-coding RNA is filed under the name Gossypium barbadense (sea-island cotton). Its description in RNAcentral is "long non-coding RNA (GBAR_LNC007458)". Lineage: Eukaryota; Viridiplantae; Streptophyta; Magnoliopsida; Malvales; Malvaceae. The record is from RNAcentral.